CUAGGUUGCGGGUAGGCAUAAGGCCACCAGCCACCACGUAGAACCAUACUACCUAUCAAUCAUCAAUAAAUUCUGAAAAUUUUGGCAUGAUGCAUGCACAAAAUGAUCACCUUUCUUAUAUUGAUCUAUCAGGAUUAUCUCAAUACAUACAACAACAUUACCUGUCAGAGCAGCAUUCACAUAAUCUGUCACAUACUAAACCUGGACAAUAUAUAGCAAUACAUUAUCACAGGCACACACUGAUCUGCAUAUAUAUAUAUAUAUAUAUAUACCAGCUUCCC
RNAcentral lists this long non-coding RNA (281 nucleotides) under Phoenix dactylifera (date palm). RNAcentral's name for it is "long non-coding RNA (PDAC_LNC007001)". The record is from RNAcentral. Lineage: Eukaryota; Viridiplantae; Streptophyta; Magnoliopsida; Arecales; Arecaceae.